This is a non-coding RNA of Acyrthosiphon pisum (pea aphid), 46 nucleotides long. The record is from Rfam. Lineage: Eukaryota; Metazoa; Arthropoda; Insecta; Hemiptera; Aphididae.
AAAUCGGUCCUUCUCAGGACCACCAAUCACAACACAGCACAUACAA